UCAGCUGUUAAAUGCAACUCCAACAGAAGAGUACUAGAAAUGUUAGCUAUACUUGGAGCUGGUUUUGAUUGUGCGAGCAAGGCGGAGUUACAGCAGGUGCUUGAUCUAGGCGUUCAGCCUAAUAGGAUCAUAUAUGCACACCCAUGCAAAGCCAAAUCACACCUCAUGUUCGCCAAGGAGAACGAUGUCCGACUCAUGACGUUCGACAACGAGGACGAGCUCGUCAAAAUAAAAGAAGUCUUUCCAAAAGCGAGGUUAGAUCGACAAAAGAUGUUACGUUAUCACAUUUAGGUGCACUUCUUUCAGGUUUUUUUUUUCAAACUUGCUUCUUAGUUUUCAUUUUGAAAAGGAAAAUUCCUUUUUGUUUGUUUCGAAUUACCACCAUUUAAUAUACCUGCCAUAUGCUGUUAUACUAACUACCACCAUGAUUACGGCCAUGACAAGGCAGAUUUGUAAAAUAAGGAGGACAAUAAACUGAUAAACAUUUA
Molecule: long non-coding RNA, 488 nt
Organism: Lytechinus pictus (painted urchin)
Lineage: Eukaryota; Metazoa; Echinodermata; Echinoidea; Temnopleuroida; Toxopneustidae
Exons: 2
Source: RefSeq, a predicted model, not a curated record